AAUCGGAUAGCUGCGUCUCGGAAAGGAAAAUCCGAAGAUGAGGAAAGUCCGGGCUUCACGGAAACAAGAUACCGGAUAACGUCCGGCUGGAGUAAUCCACGGGAAAGCGCCGCAGAAAAUUACCGCCGCGUAUAUCGCGGUAAGGUUGAAAAGGCGAGGUAAGAGCUCACCGCGUGUGCAGUAAUGCGCAUGGCAAGGCAAGCCCUAUCUGAUGUAAGACCAAAUUAGGAGAGUUUAAUGUCUUUAUUAAACUAUACGAGAUGUUUCCGACUCGCUCCAGAGGUGGGUCGCACCAGCUAAGCGGUAACGUUUGGCGUAGAUGAAUAGCUAUCGCACAAAAUCUUUGUCUUUAGAGAUAAAGCAAAUUGUGUACAGAACUCGGCUUAUAGAUUGCCUUC
RNAcentral lists this RNase P RNA (398 nucleotides) under bovine gut metagenome. Its description in RNAcentral is "Bacterial RNase P class A". It matches the Rfam family "Bacterial RNase P class A". From Rfam's summary of the family: Ribonuclease P (RNase P) is a ubiquitous endoribonuclease, found in archaea, bacteria and eukarya as well as chloroplasts and mitochondria. Its best characterised activity is the generation of mature 5'-ends of tRNAs by cleaving the 5'-leader elements of precursor-tRNAs. Cellular RNase Ps are ribonucleoproteins. The record is from RNAcentral.